UGGACUAUAGCUUAAUACCAUAGCACUUGCCUAUCAUACAUGAGGCCCUGGGUUCAACCCCCAAUACUGCAA
This 72-nucleotide transfer RNA is filed under the name Heterocephalus glaber (naked mole-rat). It matches the Rfam family "tRNA". Rfam says of the family: Transfer RNA (tRNA) molecules are approximately 80 nucleotides in length. Their secondary structure includes four short double-helical elements and three loops (D, anti-codon, and T loops). The record is from Rfam by way of RNAcentral. Lineage: Eukaryota; Metazoa; Chordata; Mammalia; Rodentia; Bathyergidae.